AUGCUGCUGUGGAGAUGUUGGCAUGUGCGCAACGAGAUCACUCAUGACAAACCGGCGCCGCCUGUGGAGGUAUCUCAUCGCUUUUUGCAGAGCUACGUAACCUCACUGCUCGGGAUCCAGCAGCAUCCGCAGGGAGAUUGGGACAAAGGGAAGAUGACCAUCCAACAAGAAGGUGCAGAAAAGCCUAUAUCGCAUGUGGGAGGUGUGCCACGAACAGCCCACAAAUGGAGUCCCCCACCCGCCAACUGGACGAAGCUGAAUGUCGACGGCUCCUUUUCCCAUGAUGACGGAAGGGCCGGGACGGGAAUGGUGCUCCGUGACCAGGAAGGGGCCAUUAUUUUCUCCGCGUGUCGCUCGCUAUGGUCUUGCCCGGACCCUCUACAUGCUGAGCUAGCUGGGUGCAUGGAGGGCAUAGCUUUGGCCCUCCAAUGGACGGAGCUGCCGUUUAUCGUCGAGUGCGAUAGUCUGCGGGCAGUGCAACUGAUCAAUGCCUCAGGACAAGACCGGUCGCAGUACGCCAUGGUGGUCUCGGAAGUGAAGCAUCUUAUGAGUGAAAGGGAGUGUCAUGUUAUUCAUAUUUCUCGAGAGCAGAAUAAUGUAAGCCAUACGUUGGCGAACUUCGGAAGGACGGAAGACCGUACUGUGGUCUGGCUCCGCUCCGGCCCGGACAAUAUCCCUAGCUUGUGUAGGGAGGACCUUCUUGGCUCUUGA
Molecule: ribosomal RNA, 711 nt
Filed under: Triticum aestivum (bread wheat)
Lineage: Eukaryota; Viridiplantae; Streptophyta; Magnoliopsida; Poales; Poaceae
Description: partial small subunit ribosomal RNA
Source: RNAcentral